UGAAGUUGACCUCCCUGGGGAGUUACGGCCGCAAGUUUAAAACUCAAAGGAAUUGACGGGGACCCGCACAUGCGGUUGGUUGAUUUGGAUUAAUUAGAUGUAAGGUGAAAAACUUUACUUACCCUUGACAUUCCAGGAACUUUCCAGAGAUGGUUUGGUGCUCGAAAGAGAGCUUGGACACAGGUGUUGCAUGGCUGUCGUCAGCUCGUUUCGUGAGAUGUUGGUUUAUGUCCCGCAACGAGCGCAACCUUUGUCGUUAAUUGCCAUCAUUAAGUUGGGCACUUUAGCGAGACUGCCGGUGACAAACCGGAGGAAGGUGGGGAUGACGUCAAGUCCUCAUGGCCCUUAUGGGUAGGGCUUCACACGUCAUACAAUGGUCGGUACAGAGGGUUGCCAAGCCGCGAGGUGGAGCCAAUCCCAGAAAGCCGAUCGUAGUCCGGAUUGGAGUCUGCAACUCGACUCCAUGAAGUCGGAAUCGUUUAGUAUUCGCAGAUCAGCAUGCUGCGGUGAAUA
This 513-nucleotide ribosomal RNA is filed under the name uncultured Rhodocyclaceae bacterium. RNAcentral's name for it is "bacterial SSU rRNA". It matches the Rfam family "Bacterial small subunit ribosomal RNA", at positions 860 to 1368 of the family's 1533-position model. Lineage: Bacteria; Pseudomonadati; Pseudomonadota; Betaproteobacteria; Rhodocyclales; Rhodocyclaceae. The record is from RNAcentral.